RNAcentral lists this long non-coding RNA (3517 nucleotides) under Homo sapiens (human). Its description in RNAcentral is "non-protein coding lnc-AFDN-1:2". Lineage: Eukaryota; Metazoa; Chordata; Mammalia; Primates; Hominidae. The record is from RNAcentral.
AUUACAUUACAGCUCUACAAUGCACCAGACGGACCCAUCUGGAUUCUUUCGGGGCUCUUAGCCCUAGAAAUAGCAUCAUUUCUUCAAACUGGUGAGUCCUCCUGUCUAAAAUCAGGAUGCAGAGAGUUGAUGCACGGCAUGGCACAGGAUGCUGGGCAAGGCUGGCAGGCCCGGGAGAGCCUGUGGCCAGCCUGGGUCCAGGAAGUGGGCAGCUGCCACAGAGGGGCCUCCGAGGCUAGCUGCCUCCUAACUUCCUCACGGCACACCAUUCUGCCGUCCUGAGUCUUCUCAAGGUUGGAAGGUGCCCAGAUCCAGGGAGAUGGUGCUGGCUCUUUGGUGGCUGUGGAGUGUCCAGACAGAUGAGCUGGAAUCCUUCAGUUUCUCUGCCUCUCCUGUCAAGUUGGGGUAGCACUGCUUGGACUCUUGCCCCGGCUGCAUUGACCAAGCCUUGAUGUUGCCUUGACCAAGCCUUGAUGUUGCCUUCUUUGCCAAACCACUGGCCACGAUGUUGCUGGCACAGCAGCCCAAAGGCAGCUGCUUGUCCAUCUCAGCCUGACCCAGCCUUCAUGCGGGCUCCAUCUCAGCCAUUGUAAAGCAAGCUCCUAGUUCUAGUUCUCCCCCACAAAUUUUAUUGCUAAAUAAACAAUUAAGCUACCCCUUUAAAUAGUAAAAAUAUGUAUAUACAAACAAGAUCUAAACCCAUCACAAGAAUGUAUCAACCAAGCCAGGCACAGCGGCAUGCACCUGUGGUCCCAGCUAUUCAGGAGGCUGAGGCUGAAGGAUCAGUUAUGCCCAGGUUGGAAUCCAGCCUGGGCAACAUAGUUGUAUUAGUCCAUUGUUAUGCUGCUGAUAAAGACACACCUGAGACUGGGAAGAAAAAGAGACUUAAUUGGAUUCACAGUUCCACGUGGCUGGGAAGGCCUCAGAAUCAUGGUGGAGGACAAAAGGCACACCAUACAUGGCGGCAGCAAGAAAGAAUGAGGAAGAAAUAAAAGCAGAAGCCCCUGAUAAACCCAUCAGAUCUCAUGAGACUUACUCACCAUCACAAGAAUAGCAUGGAAACGAUCGACCCCCAUGAUUCAGUUACCUCCCCCUGAGUUGCUCCCACAACAUGUGGGAAUUCUGAGAGAUACAAUUGAAGUUGAGAUUUGAAUGGGGACACAGCCAAAUCUUAUCAUUCUUUCCCUGGCCCCUCCAAAUCUUAUGUCCUCACAUUUCAAAACCAAUCAUGCCUUCUCAACACUCCCCCAAAGUCUUAACUCAUUUCAGCAUUAACCCAAAAGUCCACAGUCCAAAGUCUCAUCUGAGACAAGGCAUGGUGGAAGUUUCUUCCACCUAUGGGCCUGUAAAAUCAAAAGCAAGCUAGUUCCUUCCUAGAUACAAUAGGGGUACAGGUAUUGGGUAAAUACAGCUGUUCCAAAUGGGAGAAAUUGGCCAAAACAAAGGGGUUACAGGGCCCAUGCAAGUCCAAAAUCCAGCGGGAAUGUCAAAUUUUAAAGCUCCAAAAUGAUGUCCUUUGACUCCAGGUCUCACAUCCAGGUCAUGCUGAUGCAAGAGGUAGGUUCCCAUGGUCUUGGGCAGCUCUGCCCCUGUGGCUUUUCAGGGUACAGCCUCCAUCCCAGCUGCUUUCAUGGGUUGGCGUUGAGUGUCUGUGGCUUUUCCAGGCACACAGUGCAAGCUGUUUGUGGAUCUACCAUUCUGGGGUCUGGUGGACAAUGGCCCUCUUCUCAUAGCUCCACUAGCCAGUGCCCCAGUAAGGACUCUGUGUGAGGGCUCCAACCCCACAUUUCCCUUCUGCACUGCCCUGGCAGAGGUUCUCCAUGAGGGCCCCACCCCUGCAGCAAACUUUUGCCUGGGCAUCCAGGUGUUUCCACACAUCUUCUGUAAUCUAGGUGGAGGUUCCCAAACCUCAGUUCUUGACUUCUGUGCACCCUCAUGCUCAACACCACGUGGAAGCUACCAAGGCUUGGGGCUUCCACCCUCUGAAGCCACAGCCUGAGCUGUAUGUCGGCCCCUUUCAGUCAUGGCUGGAGCAUCUGGAACACAGGGCACCAAGUCCCUAGGCUGCACACAGCACAGGGACCCUGGGCCUGGCCCACAAAACCACUUUUGCCUCCUGGGCCUCUGGACCUGUGAUGGGAGGGGCUGCCAUGAAGGUCUGUGACAUGGCCUGGAGACAUUUUCCCCAUGGUCUUGGGGAUUAACAUUAGGCUCCUUGCUACUUAUGAAAUUUCUGCAGCCGGCUUGAAUUUCUCCCCAGAAGAUGGGUUUUUCUUUUCUACUGCAUCGUCAGGCUGCAGAUGUUCUGAACUUUGAUGCUCUGCUUCCCUUUUAAAAGGGAAUGCUUUUAACAGCACCCAGGUCACAGCUUGAAUGAUUUGCUGCUUAGAAAUUUCUUCCACCCAAUACCCUAAAUCAUCUCUCUCAAGUUCAAAGUUCCACAAAUCUCUAGGGCAGAAGCAAAAUGCUCCCUGUCUCUUUGCUAAAACAUAACAAAGUCACCUUUACUCCAGUUCCCAACAAGCUCCUCAUCUCCUUCUGAGACCACCUCAGCCUGGACCUUAUUGUCCAUAUUGCUAUCAGGCUUUUGGUCAAAGCCAUUCAACGAGUCUCUAGGAAGUUCCAAACUUUCCCACAUUUUCCUGUCUUCCUCAGAGCGCUCCAAACUGUUCCAAAAUCUGCCUGUUACCCAGUUCCAAAAUUGCUUCCACAUUUUGGUGUAUCUUUUCAGCAGCACCCCACUCUACUGGUACCAAUUUACUGCAUUAGUCUGUAUUCACACUGCUGAGAAAGACAUACCUGAAACUGGGAAGAAAAAGAGGUUUAAUUGGACUUACAGUUCCACAUGACUGGGGAGGCCUCUGAAUCAUGGAGGGAGGCAAAAGGCACUUCUUACAUGGUGGCAGCAAGAGAGAAUGAGGAAGAAGCAAAAGCAGAUAAAACUAUUAGAUCUCGUGAGACUUAUUCACUAUCAUGAGAAUAGCAUGGAAAAGACCGGCCCCCGUGAUUCAAUGACCUCCCCCUGGGUCCCUCCCACAACACAUGGGAAUUCUGGGAGAUACAAUUGAAGUUGAGAUUUGAAUGGGGACACAGCCAAACCAUAUCAGUAGUGUCCCCUGUCUCUCAAAAAAGGAAAGAAUUAAUCAACCAAAGGAGAAAUCUGAGUGGCUGUGGCUAGUGCUCUGGGCUGGGCAUGGACAGUAGUCCCAGGGAAGCCUCCCUGUCACGAAUUAUGGUGGCCAAUUAACCAUGUCAGCCGUAGUUUCAUCAUAACCAGAGUUUCAAAGAGAGAAUGAAUCAUAAAACUUUAAAGCUUAGAAAAGAUCUCAGAAAUUAAGACCCGUAUCUUAGAGUGGAGCUUCUCAAAUGUCAUCGUGCAUGCGAUCCCCUGGGCAUCUCGUUAGGGAGAGUUCUGAGUCGGAGGACAGGGGCAGGGCAGGGGGCAGGGAUCAGCAUCUCUAACCAGCUCCUGGGGAGGCCGCUGUGGGGCCAUGCUGGGAUGGCAAGGCCUCAGAGG